UUCCGUAGGUGAACCUGCGGAGGGAUCAUUACCGAGUUUACAACUCCCAAACCCAAUGUGAACGUUACCAAACUGUUGCCUCGGCGGGGUCACGCCCCGGGUGCGUCGCAGCCCCGGAACCAGGCGCCCGCCGGAGGAACCAACCAAACUCUUUACUGUAGUCCCCUCGCGGACGUUUUUACUUACAGCUCUGAGCAAAAAUUCAAAAUGAAUCAAAACUUUCAACAACGGAUCUCUUGGUUCUGGCAUCGAUGAAGAACGCAGCGAAAUGCGAUAAGUAAUGUGAAUUGCAGAAUUCAGUGAAUCAUCGAAUCUUUGAACGCACAUUGCGCCCGCCAGUAUUCUGGCGGGCAUGCCUGUCCGAGCGUCAUUUCAACCCUCGAACCCCUCCGGGGGGUCGGCGUUGGGGAUGCGGGAACCCCUAAGACGGGAUCCCGGCCCCGAAAUACAGUGGCGGUCUCGCCGCAGCCUCUCCUGCGCAGUAGUUUGCACAACUCGCACCGGGAGCGCGGCGCGUCCACGUCCGUAAAACACCCAACUUUCUGAAAUGUUGACCUCGGAUCAGGUAGGAAUACCCGCUGAACUUAAGCAUAUCAAUAAGCGGAGGAA
RNAcentral lists this ribosomal RNA (609 nucleotides) under Trichoderma strigosum. RNAcentral's name for it is "eukaryotic LSU rRNA". The stretch from base 217 to 370 matches the Rfam family "5.8S ribosomal RNA". The record is from RNAcentral. Lineage: Eukaryota; Fungi; Ascomycota; Sordariomycetes; Hypocreales; Hypocreaceae.